Maylandia zebra (zebra mbuna) is the source of this 221-nucleotide non-coding RNA. The record is from RefSeq and is a predicted model, not a curated record. Lineage: Eukaryota; Metazoa; Chordata; Actinopteri; Cichliformes; Cichlidae.
CGUCAAUCAACUCUCCCGGCAACAGCAACAGCUGUGCCAGUCAGAACCGCUGAGACAUGUUCGCCAUCGACUUAAAACGCCCGUCUUCUUAAAACGGGGAGAUCCGGGGAUUUAUCGUCAACUCAAGUCAGUUUGGCUUGCUAAGUGGUCUUGGUUUCCUGGACAACUGGGACAUGGCUGAGAGGAACAAUAACGGAGCAGACAGACAUGCAGAACAUCCC